GGCUAGUGCUUGUGUCCAG
RNAcentral lists this non-coding RNA (19 nucleotides) under Arabidopsis thaliana (thale cress). Lineage: Eukaryota; Viridiplantae; Streptophyta; Magnoliopsida; Brassicales; Brassicaceae. The record is from RNAcentral.